RNAcentral lists this ribosomal RNA (1427 nucleotides) under metagenome. RNAcentral's name for it is "bacterial SSU rRNA". It matches the Rfam family "Bacterial small subunit ribosomal RNA". The record is from RNAcentral.
UAACGGGUUGAAACUUCGGUUUUGAUGCUGACGACCGGCGAACGGGUGAGUAACGCGUAUGCAACCUGCCUUUUACAGAGGGAUAGCUUUCGGAAACGGAAAUUAAUACCUCAUAACACUGCGAUAUGGCAUCAUAAUGCAGUUAAAACUUUGGUGGUAAAAGAUGGGCAUGCGUAACAUUAGCUAGUUGGUAAGGUAACGGCUUACCAAGGCUACGAUGUUUAGGGGACCUGAGAGGGUGAUCCCCCACACUGGUACUGAGACACGGACCAGACUCCUACGGGAGGCAGCAGUGAGGAAUAUUGGUCAAUGGACGGAAGUCUGAACCAGCCAUCCCGCGUGCAGGACGACGGCCCUAUGGGUUGUAAACUGCUUUUCUGAAGGAAGAAUAAUCGCUACGUGUAGCGAGACGACGGUACUUCAGGAAUAAGCAUCGGCUAACUCCGUGCCAGCAGCCGCGGUAAUACGGAGGAUGCAAGCGUUAUCCGGAUUUAUUGGGUUUAAAGGGUGCGUAGGCGGAUUAAUAAGUCAGUGGUGAAAUCUUUCGGCUCAACCGAGAAACUGCCAUUGAUACUGUUAAUCUUGAGUUCGGUUGAGGUAGGCGGAAUGUGUAAUGUAGCGGUGAAAUGCUUAGAUAUUACACAGAACACCAAUUGCGUAGGCAGCUUACUAGACCGAUACUGACGCUGGGGCACGAAAGCGUGGGUAGCGAACAGGAUUAGAUACCCUGGUAGUCCACGCCGUAAACGAUGAUUACUCGUUGUUGGCGAUACACAGUCAGCGACCAAGCGAAAGCGAUAAGUAAUCCACCUGGGGAGUACGCUCGCAAGAGUGAAACUCAAAGGAAUUGACGGGGGCCCGCACAAGCGGUGGAACAUGUGGUUUAAUUCGAUGAUACGCGAGGAACCUUACCUGGGCUUAAAUGUAGAGUGCAUGAUCGGGAAACUGAUCUUUUCCUUCGGGACUCUUUACAAGGUGCUGCAUGGUUGUCGUCAGCCCGUGCCGUGAGGUGUCGGGUUAAGUCCCAUAACGAGCGCAACCCCUAUCAUUAGUUGCCAUCGGGUAAAGCCGGGGACUCUAGUGAAACUGCCACCGUAAGGUGAGAGGAAGGUGGGGAUGACGUCAAAUCAGCACGGCCCUUAUGUCCAGGGCUACACACGUGUUACAAUGGUCGGUACAGAGGGCAGCUACCUGGUGACAGGAUGCGAAUCUCUAAAGCCGGUCCAAGUUCGGAUCGAAGUCUGCAACUCGACUUCGUGAAGCUGGAAUCGCUAGUAAUCGCGCAUCAGCCAUGGCGCGGUGAAUACGUUCCCGGGCCUUGUACACACCGCCCGUCAAGCCAUGGAAGCUGGGGGUGCCUGAAGUUCGUAACCGCAAGGAGCGACCUAGGGUAAAACUAGUGACUGGGGCUAAGUCGUAACAAGGUA